This 1553-nucleotide long non-coding RNA is filed under the name Manihot esculenta (cassava). RNAcentral describes it as "long non-coding RNA (MESC_LNC009743)". The record is from RNAcentral. Lineage: Eukaryota; Viridiplantae; Streptophyta; Magnoliopsida; Malpighiales; Euphorbiaceae.
UGAUAGCCCAACAAUUUGAUUGUUUGUAGUCCUUGAUUGCAUUGUACUGGAUUGAUAGACAACACUGGCUUCAUUUGAUCACCCAAGUUAUCAACCUCCCCAGCAACAUCUACCCAAUCAUUUUCUAAAUUCUCAUCCUUAACUGACUCCUUAUGUGAUUCAUCCAAUUACAUAGUUGCUAAGGUUUUUGGCUUGCAUACAUCUCUUGGAAAAUGCUUCUCCCUGAAGCAUGGCUUUGGUAAAUUUCUUUAGGAUAGGGUUAUGAAGGUUGUAGGUUUAUGUUAUGGUCUCAGGUCAUAGAUUGCAUCACGGGAUAAUUGAUAGGAAAGGAGUUCAUCAGAAGGAGCUCGUAACGGCUCAAUCUCACAAUUCUGGGAUAAGUAUGCUUGUUUUAUUACUCAUACAUUAAUCCCAUAUAUAAAAUGAAGGUUAUACAAUAACAUAAGAAUUCAUAACAAAUUAAAAGUCCUAAAUAAUAACUAACAAUAAUAAAGGUUGAUGAUAACUAGAUAAAGAUGAUGAUUACAAAAAGUCUAUCCUAAUCUAAACAAUAUUUAAGAUUGAUUGAUUCUGAAAAAAAACUUCCUCAAUAUUUGGACUCUAAUGGAUUUGCUCUGUCCAUUAUCCCUAACAGUUUACCUACGGGUUGAGUAACAGAACUACUACAUCCCACAAAGGCUGUUUUAUCAUUGGUGUUGGUUAUAGGACUUGAUUUUAGGGUAGGUUCUAAUAGGAGGUUUUGCGGAAAUAAGAAUUCAUAACAAAUUAAAAGUCCUAAAUAAUAACUAACAAUAAUAAAGGUUGAUGAUAACUAGAUAAAGAUGAUGAUUACAAAAAGUCUAUCCUAAUCUAAACAAUAUUUAAGAUUGAUUGAUUCUGAAAAAAAACUUCCUCAAUAUUUGGACUCUAAUGGAUUUGCUCUGUCCAUUAUCCUUAACAGUUUACCUACGGGUUGAGUAACAGAACUACUACAUCCCACAAAGGCUGUUUUAUCAUUGGUGUUGGUUAUAGGACUUGAUUUUAGGGUAGGUUCUAAUAGGAGGUUUUGCGGAAAAUGAGUAGAAUUGAGAAGGUUUGGAGGAUUGGAACAAUGUUGUUUCUAGUAUGUAUAGGUGGAGAAAGGUUUGUGUGAUAUUGGUUUCUACUGGUCUCCUGGAAUUUUUCCUGUAACCUUGCUGCUUCAAAUGCCUAUGGAAGUGGCACAGGUUUCAUCAUCCUCACUAUUGGCCUUAUAUCAUUCUUUAGUCUUUUAGUGAAUACAGAGAAAAGAUAGGCCUCCCGAGUUCUGGUACUAGUCUCUUGAUCUGGACCCUUAAUUCGAUAAUUCUCUAUUGAUUCCUCUUGCCUCACCCUCAUGAACUCCUACACAACUUCCUCAAGCCCUUUGCUCCCCAAAUCUAGCGUACAAUCCCUUUUCAAAGAGAUCCCAAGUUCCCUUUUCCAAUUAUCAAACCAAGAGUCAACUCCAACUAAGAAUAGACAUGCGAUAUUUACUCUCUGCUAAUAGAACUUGAUAAAUCUCAAAAUAUUUCAAGCAUUUAUUAAGCCAAACC